UGAAACGAACAAGCAAUAAAAGUACAGCAUUUUUACACACACCAUGCGAGGCAUCCUAACAAUUGGGCAAACAAAAGCCAUUGGCAUGGAUUUAGUUUACUAACACGUCGUCAAAGCACAAUGUCAGGCCAGCGUGCUUUCGCCUUUCAUGCAGACCAACUAGCUAGUUUAGCUUUUUUUAUUCAGGAGUCUAAGACAAUAUUGAAAGAUGAUUUUUUGUGUUGUUGGCCAACUUGAAACUGAGUACAGAUAUUAUGUCGUUGAAAUAGAAAUACUCAAAGUAAAUCUAUCCGAUCCCAUGAUAAGUGCAAAGACAUGACAAGAUACGUUAUCUUUCUUUGGUUUUUACGAACUACUGUAGAAUUUUCUGUUUGAUUAUACCUCG
RNAcentral lists this long non-coding RNA (385 nucleotides) under Setaria viridis. Its description in RNAcentral is "long non-coding RNA (SVIR_LNC006628)". The record is from RNAcentral. Lineage: Eukaryota; Viridiplantae; Streptophyta; Magnoliopsida; Poales; Poaceae.